This 829-nucleotide long non-coding RNA is filed under the name Sorghum bicolor (sorghum). RNAcentral describes it as "long non-coding RNA (SBIC_LNC003684)". The record is from RNAcentral. Lineage: Eukaryota; Viridiplantae; Streptophyta; Magnoliopsida; Poales; Poaceae.
AAACCCCCUCCCGACAUCCUUUCGACAUGUGACAACUAGAAAAUUUUCAUCUCCAAUCUAAGUCCUUGUUUAGUUCACCCCGAAAACCAAAAAGUUUUCUAGAUUCCCCGUCACAUCGAAUCUUUUGACACAUGCAUGAAGCAUUAAAUAUAGAUAAAAAUAAAAACUAAUUGCACAGUUUACCUAUAAAUCGCGAGAUGAAUCUUUUGAUCAUAGUUAGUCCAUAAUUAAACAAUAUUUGUCACAAACAAACGAAAGUGCUACGGUAGCAAAAUCCAAAUUUUUUUCGCAUCUAAGGCCUUGUUUAGUUAGCAAAAAUUUUCAAGAUUCCCCGUCACAUCGAAUCUUUGGUCGCAUGCAUUGAUCAUUAAAUAUAGACGAAAAUAAAAACUAACUGCACAGUUUAGCUGUAAUUUGUGAGAUGAAUAUUUUGAGCCUAGUUACUCCAUGAUUGGACAAUGUUUGUAAAAAAAAAACGAAAUUCUACAGUACCCAAAAACAAAAAAAUUUGCAAACUAAACAAGGCCUAAACCAGGCAUAAACAGGGCCUAAAGUCAGUCCGGGAGAAUAACGAUAAACCGUAAGAGCUGCGCCAGUCACGUCGCGUCGAGCUGAUCCUCUGCCGGCGACUUUGCGUCAAACAGCGCCGAGCACAUGAGGCAGCAACGACGGUCGACGGCAGUCUCUGGGAGGGCUGAUGCAAUGCUAUGCCUGGAUUCUCUGGCCGGUAUCUUGGACGAAACUGUCGAAAUCGCAAAACCGCGGGCGUACGUAGUGGUCAAUCGUCAACGUACGUAUGUGCGCCCAACCCAAGCUUGUACGCCAGCUA